Non-coding RNA from Ictidomys tridecemlineatus (thirteen-lined ground squirrel), 2272 nucleotides. Lineage: Eukaryota; Metazoa; Chordata; Mammalia; Rodentia; Sciuridae. The record is from RefSeq and is a predicted model, not a curated record.
GGCUCCAGCAGCAGUCCCCGCCGGGCUCCUCCUCCCUCCAGGAGCCUCACGGACAACAAAGCACAGCGCUGGUAGGGGAGAGGGAGAGACCCAGAUCCCCAAACCCUCCUCUGAGCGCCGUAACGCGGCCUCCCAGACUCUGGGCGCCCCGUUCGGGCAUCUGGGGUCCCCGGCCUGCGCGUCCGCCCACCAGGCUGUGAUCACCCCCUAGUAUCCGAUUCUCCUUUAGAACCCGACACUAGUAACACCUUAGAUAAGAUGCUGAUCACAGAUGGCAAGGGUUACCUAGGCGUGGAAAUACUAACCCGCCAAGAUGUUGGUGCCUGCAAGACUUCGAUAAGCUGAUUCCCUCAGAUUUGAUUAAGCACCAAAAGGUGUGCACUGAGUCCCCUUACCUUGGACACUAGACCACAAUCGUUUUUCACUUUUUAUGGAUUUCUUGGCAAACAAGGGAGAAGAGUAACUUAGUACAAGCACUUUAUUCCUCAGUCCUAAACGCAAGACCAGAUACCGCACAAUUUAAAGUGGGAAACAAUUUUAUUCUAAUCUGUAAAAAUGACACCAAAAACAGUUAACUGCAUUUCUGACUUUUUAAAGAAAUGUGCCUUUAGGUUUAAAAAAAAAUCAUCUUCGCUAGUCCUUAGGAUGCGUGCUCCAAAUCAUUCAUUAGUAUCCUAUAGAAUGUACUACAUGCAAUAUGUACACCAAAAGUCUAGCCACUUUGGUUCAUAAAUACUCUUUAAAAUAAAACCUAAGUCAUUGGAGAUAUUCCAGAGUCUAGGAGCGGGCUCCGCAACAUUGCCCUAUACACAAAAAGACCCAGCAGCACAGCGUAAGCAGGAGUCCGCCCACCAAGCUGACUCCGGGCUCCGGGCUUUGCCCAAGGCCUGCCACUCAAAUGACGCGAGGCCCCGCCCCUGCACCAAGCUAGUUCGACGCGUACAAACAGAUGAUGUCAUUGUCUCCACACGCGCGUGACCCCGGAGCUCUGCGCCGCGUCUUCAUUCGCUGCGCCGCUUACUCGUCAAGCCACGCUGUGCGCUGACUGGCUACAGGCACCAGUCUCCAGGCCCCAGACGCCCCUCUCCGCCCCCAACCUCCGCCCCCCCCAGCAAAUAAUAAACAAUCGAGUAAAAUUCGAAAGGAGGAAGGAGGGGAAGGAGGAGAGAAAGAGGGCGCUCCAGAAGGAGUCCUUCGCGUGCGGACGGCAGGAGGAUUAAAAGGAGGGACGAGGGAGAACCGGAGAGGAAAGGAGGGGGCAGACCUGGGAAGGCAGGUCCCGCUGCGACCAAUCACAUGGAAAACUUCUUUGUUGAACACCGUGUACCAAAGUACAGAGUGAGCUUUGGCUUGUCCUUUGGGGUGUCAUUCCAGGCAAGUUUCAUCACCACCCUCUCCAAGAAAGUCUGGAACUCUGGUCCUCUCUCUUCCUCUUUGAAGACGUCAAGCAUGACAAGCCCUGGAAAGUCUAUCCAGACCCUGAAUGGAGCACUUUAAGACUUGCAUCAUUUAAGCCUCACAGAGGCCUUGUGAGGUACCUAAUGUAAUUAUGGCCCUGAUAAAAGCUGCCAAGUGCUCCUGAGUGCAAAGGAGAGAAGAUAUUUUAACGAAGUUACUAGACUCAUUUGGCUUCUCAUCCUGGAGAAUCUACUGCUCUGGGGGACCAUCAUUUCUGCUGAGCUGGCAUUGCUAUGAGGCGACCGCUUUCUGUUGGUUUUUCUUCGUGAUUUAGAGUUAUCCAGGGGAAGAGGACUAAUUUCUAGAUAGAGAGAUGAAAUCUGGUUUUCAAAGUGCUGGAUGGAUUCCUUCAGGCUGUUUCUGUCUACAAAGCUUGUAUUUCUCAAGGAGCAGGGAGAGAUGGAAUUGAGGUCCUAAGGUAGGAGAGUGGGCCCAUUAUCUCACUUCUGCCCCCUUUCCCCUCUCCCAGUCCCCACCAGGGCUCACUACAGUAGCUGGUGGCAUGUCAGGCUGCCAAACCAAUCACAAUCCUCUUCUUCCUCAGUUAUUUAGCAAGCCUUCCAGAGGUGACUCUGUGGGGAGGGGACUUCCAAGAUCAAAUCAUAGCCUGCUUCCCCUAGAACAUCUCAGUGGCCCAGUGGGGUGCUAAUGUCAAGGCUGUGACAUUAAGACCUGUGUAGGCCCAUUUUAAAAAUGGAAGACUUCUUAGGGGAAGGCAUACGUCAGCUUUUUUUCCUUCUGGGUUGAUUGGAGCUGUCACAGCCUGCCAAUGUCCUCUAAACAUUGCCUGAAAUAAAAAACAGUAUCUUGUGAA